Molecule: long non-coding RNA, 3732 nt
Organism: Xiphophorus hellerii (green swordtail)
Lineage: Eukaryota; Metazoa; Chordata; Actinopteri; Cyprinodontiformes; Poeciliidae
Exons: 2
Source: RefSeq, a predicted model, not a curated record
CAUACAUACAUUAUUGAUUGAAUAAAUGCACUCAAAUUAAAAUCCAAGAUAUUUCAGUAUGAGAUCAUGCUACCGCAAUGAAAAACUGUUACUGUAUUUCUGUCAUGUUCACCCAUUAGCAUACAUACAGUGUGUUUAAUGGAAUCGGGUAUUCUAACUUACUAAUAAUUUUUUUUAAGUUUAUUGUGUAUGUCUGACUCUAGUGUACUAAUUAUCCGAAUCUGAAAAACAACAUAAGUCAUCUGAAAAAUGUUGCAUCUUUAUUGACUUUUUAAGCAGCCAUUAGCUUGCAGGUAUCCUCCUUGGGUCCAGCUCAUCUACAUGUUCACCUGCGCAGGGGAGAUGAGAUCCUCUGAUUCAGCAAAUCGCUGGUUUCUCCUCCCGUCCAUAUUAUCGACGCUGCCGGAGGGCCGUGGAGGAUGCCGGGGCACGAGGCUGCUGGGGGCGGAAAGAGCCGGCGGAUCUGUCGGGGGUAGGGCAUGCAGGCGGGCGGGCGGGCGCUCAGGGCUGGAGCCGCAGAUUAUUCUGGAAAUUGCCAGCUGCAGUGUCUGCAAUCAGGAUCAAACUGGUUCCGGGUGGGGGAGGUGAAAGUCACUGUCGAUUUUUGUCAAGCCAGCCUGUGCCUGCGCAUCUCCCGACUGAGCGGGAUGACAUUCACUAGGGCGAUGGUGGAAAUGUCCCACCACCUCAUUCUCUCCUUAAUAAUUCAUCCUCCUGCCUGGGCUCCUCCGACUGCAGCCGCCCUGCCUGCCUGUCUUUAAUGGAGCUGGUGGUUGCCAGCGCUAACAUCUUAACAUUCAAAUAAUACAGAGACUCCAGGCUAGAGUAAAAUCAAUGGCAGAUCGAGAAAGCAUAAUGAAAAGCAAUGCACAUCCUGCAGCCACCUUCCCAGCUGUAUUGCUGAAAUGCAGCAGCACAUCCAGGAUUCCUCCUAUUUUCACACAAUGAUCCUCACUCUCACCCGGCUCCUCAUCUUUGUCUCCUUCCUGUAUCCUCUUCUUUUCUCCUCUUCAGCUCCAAGAAUUGUAGCUUUCCUGAAACAAGCAGCAGAGCCAUGAGACACACCCUGAUUGCACCCUACUACUGGAGCUAACACUCCAACCCAAUCUAUAUUUGCCCAGUGUAUGUCCAGUUCUUUGCCACCAGGAAGAAACACAGAGGCAGCCAUUUUGGAACAGCUCUAUAGAGCUGUACGUAAUGGAGCCCUGCAUGGGUCUCCGCAGACAAAACGCGCUGCAGCAAACCCAUUUCUGUUUGUGCCUGUGAUGCGCUCUGCUUUUCCUCCAAGGUGAACGUAGCAAUUUUAACAAAAUUUCAGUCAUUUCUGCACUCAAAAAGUCUGAGCUACGCUGAUUUUGAAUAACCCAUGAAGUUACCACGGGAGCUAAAGAGAAGCAGCCUGCUCACCUAAAAGGAAGACUCAUGGGCGAACAAUGCAGAGGGAAGGUGUGCAGUUUAUUUCAGCGCUGAUGGUGGGGGCGAGGGGUCUGUGUCUGCUUGUCUCCAGUGAUGCGGGGUUGAUUUCUUUCGGCAGGCCUGUGAAUGCCCUGAGGCGACAGGGAUAAGAGCCACAGAGGCAAGAAGGGCAAGAGGAAGAAUCUGGCCUACGGAGACUCUGAGGUGAUGACCCUCUGCAUGGACUGGAACAAUUCGCAGCCAAGUGUGAAGCGACCUGAAUGAGAGUCGGCUCCCUCUAGGUUGGAGGAGUCUUGGUGUCUCGGUAACAGGUGAUGGUGGGAUAGAAAGGGAUAUGAACAGACAGAGUGGGGCCUCGUCUGCAGUAAUAAGGCCGAUGAUUCGGUCUGAUGUGGAGGAGAAAAAGCAGAACCAAAAGGCAAACCUCUCCAUUCACCAGGAUGUCAGUUUUCCAGCUCUCAAAUAAUUCUUGGCAUUUGAAUUGUGACUGAAAGAACAAAAUUUUGAGCAGAUAAAGUUGAAUUUUUGUCCUCAGAUGUUUCUCUGGUUUAUGUACUUUAUUUCUUAUUGUAUUGGAGGCUGAUUUAAUUUCAUUCAGUUGUGAAUCGCUGUUCUUACGCUGGGCUACUUACAGUCUGAUCUAAACAGCAUCUCAGAGCCUGCAGAGGAAUUUAGACUGAGACGGAGGAAACAUUCAUCCAGAACUAAAGUUGAAUGGUUUACAUCAUCACAUAGUUAUAUAUUAAAAUGAUCCAGUCAAAGUUCAGGCCUAAACCAAACUGAGAAUGUGUGACAUGAAAAUGAACGUUCAGAAUGUUCUCCAUUCAAUCUGAUUAAGAUUGAAUCAUGUAAAGAAGAUGAAAGCAUUUUCUGUCUUGAGACAAUUUUUUAUUUUUCAUAUUUAAUUUUAAACUUCGUGGCAAAGGCUGUGAUUAAUUAUAUGAAUGCGAGUUCUUGGUUUUCUAUUUUUAAUAAAUUCGUAAAACACUGAAAAACUUUUUUCCACAUUGUCAUGAUGGGGGUAUUUGUAAUAUUAUUCAAUUUGGAAUAAGGGUGUAACAUAAAAAUGUGAAAAAAGUGAAACACUGAAUACUUUCCAUGUGUACUAAAGUUUGGUUAUGAUGCCUGUUAGUAUUACUUUAGUGAUUUUUAAAAAAAUCAAAUUCACUUAUUUCAAAAUGGUUUAAGACACAAUGAUUUGAAGAUGCAAAUUGUGGUAUUUAUAAUAACCUUCCCUACUGUUAAUUUUCUAAUUCUUCAAGUCGUCAGGAAAAAAAAGAGACUUUCAGUUGUAUGUUUUAAUAAAUGUCAUUACGCCUGAAGCAGUUGGAAGUUUCCAAUUUGCUUUUAAUGUCAAGAACAAGAUUUUCUCUACACAUUCAAGUCAGGAAGCAUUAAGGUCACUUCAGAUAUUUACUUCAUGUGGACAUAAUGGAUUUCUCACAAUAGUCUAAUGACCAUAAUUAUACAAGUUACUAUAGAAACCUCAACUAAAGGUUUGAUUUGUUUUGCUUUAACUCCUUGGCAGUUUUAAUUGCUGUGAUCUGCGAUAAGACCACAUGGCCAGCUGGCUUUUCACAGUAUUUUUGUAUUUAAUGCAGCUGUGCCCCAGAAAUUGCUAAUAUUUCUCUCUCUCUCUCUCUGCAAAGGAGCAAAUAAGUUACAGACAACUUGAUUAAUAUGCAAAAUUAAAAGUUUGUAAAUAUUUAGCGUGCAAAGGAAUUAAUUAGCUGAACUAAAGCUGGAAACUUGUGGGUUUUAAAUUGAAAAAAUAAAAAUCAGGGCCAUUUUGUGGUCAGUUUAAAAAUGAGUCUUUUUUUAUGUUUUGCUGCUCAUAUAACCCUGACCAUAAAGGCCCCGAGCUUUCACUUGUAUAUCCUCUGAAAGAAGCAAAAAAUGAUUGAGUGAACAGAGUUUCCGAUUAAAAACCUUUUAAUGAAAAAGCAGUAAGUCAUUGAAGUGGUUAAAUUGAAAAUAUAUCUCACACGGAGUGUUAUAAUUGCCAGAGUUUCAUAACUUUCAGCAGACGGACUGUGUUGUUCCCAGGUGUUUCCUUCACUUUCAGGACUUUCUGUUGGGUUUCAACUCCUUUUUCUGCCUCUGAGCCCACAGAGGACACAACUUCCAUCCACACAUCGAAGACGGCAGGUCUCAAUCGGUCAUGGUGGCUGGCCUUCUGGCCCCGACACAUCCUUCACUAUUACAGAGCUAUCGAUCGCUUAAUUACACAACGUAGGUCAAAUUUCCCAUGACAGAUGAUAAUGUGAAAAACAAGGCUGGGAACAAUAUAAAAGGGAGGCAAAAUAAAAAAAAAAA